RNAcentral lists this ribosomal RNA (301 nucleotides) under uncultured bacterium. RNAcentral's name for it is "partial 16S ribosomal RNA". It matches the Rfam family "Bacterial small subunit ribosomal RNA", at positions 509 to 807 of the family's 1533-position model. The record is from RNAcentral.
CAGCCGCCACGGUAAUACGUAGGGUGCGAGCGUUAAUCGGAAUUACUGGGCGUAAAGCGUGCGCAGGCGGCUUUGCAAGACAGAUGUGAAAUCCCCGGGCUCAACCUGGGAACUGCAUUUGUGACUGCAAGGCUAGAGUGCGGCAGAGGGAGAUGGAAUUCCGCGUGUAGCAGUGAAAUGCGUAGAUAUGCGGAGGAACACCGAUGGCGAAGGCAAUCUCCUGGGCCUGCACUGACGCUCAUGCACGAAAGCGUGGGGAGCAAACAGGAUUAGAUACCCCAGUAGUCCCUGUCUCUUAUAC